Molecule: ribosomal RNA, 652 nt
Filed under: uncultured Lachnospiraceae bacterium
Lineage: Bacteria; Bacillati; Bacillota; Clostridia; Lachnospirales; Lachnospiraceae
Description: bacterial SSU rRNA
Rfam family: Bacterial small subunit ribosomal RNA
Source: RNAcentral
GAGCGAAGCGGUUUUAAGGAAGUUUUCGGAUGGAAUUAAAACUGACUGAGCGGCGGACGGGUGAGUAACGCGUGGGUAACCUGCCUCAUACAGGGGGAUAACAGUUAGAAAUGGCUGCUAAUACCGCAUAAGCACACAGCUUCGCAUGGAGCAGUGUGAAAAACUCCGGUGGUAUGAGAUGGACCCGCGUCUGAUUAGCUAGUUGGUAAGGUAACGGCUUACCAAGGCGACGAUCAGUAGCCGACCUGAGAGGGUGACCGGCCACAUUGGGACUGAGACACGGCCCAAACUCCUACGGGAGGCAGCAGUGGGGAAUAUUGCACAAUGGGGGAAACCCUGAUGCAGCGACGCCGCGUGAGUGAAGAAGUAUCUCGGUAUGUAAAGCUCUAUCAGCAGGGAAGAAAAUGACGGUACCUGACUAAGAAGCCCCGGCUAACUACGUGCCAGCAGCCGCGGUAAUACGUAGGGGGCAAGCGUUAUCCGGAUUUACUGGGUGUAAAGGGAGCGUAGACGGCGGAGCAAGUCUGAAGUGAAAGCCCGGGGCUCAACCCCGGGACUGCUUUGGAAACUGUUCUGCUAGAGUGCUGGAGAGGUAAGUGGAAUUCCUAGUGUAGCGGUGAAAUGCGUAGAUAUUAGGAGGAACACCAGUGGC